This 253-nucleotide ribosomal RNA is filed under the name uncultured bacterium. Its description in RNAcentral is "partial 16S ribosomal RNA". It matches the Rfam family "Bacterial small subunit ribosomal RNA", at positions 524 to 776 of the family's 1533-position model. The record is from RNAcentral.
UACGUAGGGGGCAAGCGUUGUCCGGAAUCAUUGGGCGUAAAGAGCGUGUAGGCGGCCCGAUAAGUCCGCCGUGAAAGUCCAGGGCUCAACCCUGGAAUGCCGGUGGAAACUGUCGGGCUGGAGUCCGGAAGAGGCGAGUGGAAUUCCUGGUGUAGCGGUGAAAUGCGCAGAUAUCAGGAGGAACACCAAUGGCGAAGGCAGCUCGCUGGGACGGUACUGACGCUGAGACCCGAAAGCAUGGGGAUCAAACAGG